CCUACGGGUGGCUGCAGUGAGGAAUAUUGGUCAAUGGGCGCGAGCCUGAACCAGCCAAGUAGCGUGAAGGAAGACUGCCCUACGGUUUGUAAACUUCUUUUAUAAGGGAAUAAAGUGAGGCACGUGUGCCUUUUUGCAUGUACUUUAUGAAAAAGGAUCGGCUAACUCCGUGCCAGCAGCCGCGGUAAUACGGAGGAUCCGAGCGUUAUCCGGAUUUAUUGGGUUUAAAGGGAGCGUAGAUGGGUUGUUAAGUCAGUUGUGAAAGUUUGCGGCUCAACCGUAAAAUUGCAUUUGAUACUGGCAGUCUUGAGUACAGUUGAGGUAGGCGGAAUUCGUGGUGUAGCGGUGAAAUGCUUAGAUAUCACGAAGAACUCCGAUUGCGAAGGCAGCUUACUAAGCUGCCACUGACAUUGAUGCUCGAAAGUGUGGGUAUCAAACAGGAUUAGAUACCCUGGUAGUC
This 460-nucleotide ribosomal RNA is filed under the name uncultured bacterium. RNAcentral's name for it is "partial 16S ribosomal RNA". It matches the Rfam family "Bacterial small subunit ribosomal RNA", at positions 338 to 795 of the family's 1533-position model. The record is from RNAcentral.